Non-coding RNA from Fukomys damarensis (Damara mole-rat), 101 nucleotides. The record is from Rfam. NCBI's taxonomy places the organism in Eukaryota, Metazoa, Chordata, Mammalia, Rodentia, Bathyergidae.
GUGCUCAUUUCAGUAGCACUAAAAUUUGAAUGACACAGAGAAAAUUAGCACAGCCCAUGCACAAUGAUGGCAUAAAAAUUUGUCAGUGUUCCCCGUUUUUU